GACGAACGCUGGCGGCGUGCUUAACACAUGCAAGUCGAGCGGUAAGGCCCUUUCGGGGGUACACGAGCGGCGAACGGGUGAGUAACACGUGGGUGACCUGCCCUCAGCUCUGGGAUAAGCCUGGGAAACCGGGUCUAAUACUGGAUAUGACUCCAUGACGCAUGUUGUGGGGUGGAAAGCCUUGUGCGGCUGAGGAUGGGCCCGCGGCCUAUCAGCUUGUUGGUGGGGUGANGGCCUACCAAGGCGACGACGGGUAGCCGGCCUGAGAGGGCGACCGGCCACACUGGGACUGAGACACGGCCCAGACUCCUACGGGAGGCAGCAGUGGGGAAUCUUGCGCAAUGGGCGAAAGCCUGACGCAGCGACGCCGCGUGAGGGAUGACGGCCUGGUGUAACGU
Molecule: ribosomal RNA, 398 nt
Filed under: uncultured bacterium
Lineage: Bacteria
Description: bacterial SSU rRNA
Rfam family: Bacterial small subunit ribosomal RNA
Source: RNAcentral